GGGGCUGUGGUCCAACUUGGCUAAGAUUCAGCGUUCGGGACGCUGCGAUCGGGGUUCAAAUCCUCGCAGCCCCA
This 74-nucleotide transfer RNA is filed under the name Nanobdellota archaeon. RNAcentral's name for it is "tRNA-Pro". It matches the Rfam family "tRNA". Rfam says of the family: Transfer RNA (tRNA) molecules are approximately 80 nucleotides in length. Their secondary structure includes four short double-helical elements and three loops (D, anti-codon, and T loops). Lineage: Archaea; Nanobdellati; Nanobdellota. The record is from RNAcentral.